GAUGAACGCUGGCGGCGUGCUUAACACAUGCAAGUCGAACGGAAAGGCCCAAGCUUGCUUGGGUACUCGAGUGGCGAACGGGUGAGUAACACGUGGGUGAUCUGCCCUGCACUUCGGGAUAAGCCUGGGAAACUGGGUCUAAUACCGGAUAGGACCACUUCCUGGAUGUUGUGGUGGAAAGUUUUUUCGGUGUGGGAUGAGCUCGCGGCCUAUCAGCUUGUUGGUGGGGUAAUGGCCUACCAAGGCGUCGGCGGGUAUCCGGCCUGGGAGGGUGUACGGCCACAUUGGGGCUGGGAUUCGGGCCAGACUCCUACGGGAGGCAGCAGUGGGGAAUAUUGCAAAAUGGGCGGGAGCCUGGUGGAAGGACGCCGCGGGGGGGAUGAAGGCCUUCGGGUUGUAAACCCCUUUCGCUAGGGGAGGAGGGGUUUGUGACGGUACCUGGAGAAGAAGCACCGGCUAACUACGUG
Molecule: ribosomal RNA, 467 nt
Filed under: uncultured bacterium
Lineage: Bacteria
Description: partial 16S ribosomal RNA
Rfam family: Bacterial small subunit ribosomal RNA
Source: RNAcentral